AGCCAUGCGAGUCAUUGUAGUAAUACAAGGCAGACGGCUCAGUAACGCGUAGUCAACCUAACCUAUGGACGGGAAUAACCUCGGGAAACUGAGUAUAAUGCCCGAUAGAACAUUAUGCCUGGAAUGGUUUAUGUUCCAAAUGAUUUAUCGCCGUAGGAUGGGACUGCGGCCUAUCAGUUUGUUGGUGAGGUAAUGGCCCACCAAGACUAUUACAGGUACGGGCUCUGAGAGGAGUAGCCCGGAGAUGGGUACUGAGACACGGACCCAGGCCCUAUGGGGCGCAGCAGGCGAGAAAACUUUGCAAUGUGCGAAAGCACGACAAGGUUAAUCCGAGUGGUUUCUGCUAAAGGAACCUUUUGACAGUCCUAGAAACACUGUUGAAUAAGGGGUGGGCAAGUUCUGGUGUCAGCCGCCGCGGUAAAACCAGCACCUCAAGUGGUCAGGAUGAUUAUUGGGCCUAAAGCAUCCGUAGCCGGCUCUGUAAGUUUUCGGUUAAAUCUGUACGCUCAACGUACAGGCUGCCGGGAAUACUGCAGAGCUAGGGAGUGGGAGAGGUAGACGGUACUCGGUAGGAAGGGGUAAAAUCCUUUGAUCUAUUGAUGACCACCUGUGGCGAAGGCGGUCUACCAGAAACACGUCCGACGGUGAGGGAUGAAAGCUGGGGGAGCAAACCGGAUUAGAUACCCGGGUAGUCCCAGCUGUAAACCAUGCAAACUCAGUGAUGCAUUGGCUUGUGGCCCAAUGCAGUGCUGCAGGGAAGCCGUUAAGUUUGCCGCCUGGGAAGUACGUACGCAAGUAUGAAACUUAAAGGAAUUGGCGGGG
RNAcentral lists this ribosomal RNA (822 nucleotides) under uncultured marine archaeon. RNAcentral's name for it is "bacterial SSU rRNA". It matches the Rfam family "Archaeal small subunit ribosomal RNA", at positions 47 to 873 of the family's 1478-position model. The record is from RNAcentral.